Molecule: ribosomal RNA, 253 nt
Filed under: uncultured bacterium
Lineage: Bacteria
Description: partial 16S ribosomal RNA
Rfam family: Bacterial small subunit ribosomal RNA
Source: RNAcentral
UACAGAGGUCUCAAGCGUUGUUCGGAUUCAUUGGGCGUAAAGGGUGCGUAGGCGGCGCGGUAAGUCGGGUGUGAAAUCUCGGAGCUUAACUCCGAAACUGCAUUCGAUACUGUCGUGCUUGAGGACUGGAGAGGAGACUGGAAUUUACGGUGUAGCGGUGAAAUGCGUAGAGAUCAUGAGGAAGACCAGUGGCGAAGGCGGGUCUCUGGACAGUUCCUGACACUGAGACACGAAGGCUAGGGGAGCAAACGGG